UGCACUGUUGCCCCCUGAACUUUUGGCGGAGUUUCACUUUACCCCCCAAACUCUGAAAUUAGACAUUUACCCCCCUAAACUUUAAUAUUGCAUUCUUGUUGCCCCUUCCGUCAGUUUGGGUUAACAAAGCUGAACGGGAGUUGACGGAAGGGUUAGGUUUUGGCGGGAAAUCCACCGCCAAAACUGUCCCUUGUACCGACCAACUCUCUUUUAUUCCUUAAAAACUCAUUUUUCUCCAUUUCUUUGCCCUCUAACUCUUCUUCUCCAACUCUUUCCUCCAAAGCUCUCUCUUCUUCUCCUCCAACUCCUUCAAAACUCUCAUUUUCUUAUAAACUACCCCAUGGAUGCCUCACAAUUCGUGAUCCCGAGAUGUUUUUGCGGUGAAUCUGCACAAAUUAAGACAUCUUGGACUGAUUCAAAUCCAGGGAGGCGGUUUUUGGGAUGCAAAAACUAUGGGGUAGUGGGUGCAUGUGGAUUUUUUCAGUGGUUUGACCCUCCAGUUGGUGAUCGAGCUAAAGUAAUUAUUACUGGACUGCUUAGGAAGAGCAGCAAGAUGGAAGAUGAGUUAAAGCAAGUUAAAAAGAGAAGGAUUUGUCUUUGGUUUUUUCUUGUAUUAUCCUGGAUCUUAAUAUGGAUCCUAUUUUGUAGUUUGAUGUCUACAGAAGGUUGUAAAGGCAAUUAAAAAUAUGGAUCCUGUUUUGAUGUGUAAAGAAGGUUGUGAAGGCCAUUAAAUAUAUGGGCCCUGUUUUGUUGUGUCUGCAGUAAUCCCUCUGUCAAGGCCUAGCUGUGCCAAAUUGUAGCCAAGUGUAUCUCGUAAAUGAAUGAAGCGGUAUUAUACUACCUUGUUCUCUGAAAAAA
Molecule: long non-coding RNA, 858 nt
Organism: Ananas comosus (pineapple)
Lineage: Eukaryota; Viridiplantae; Streptophyta; Magnoliopsida; Poales; Bromeliaceae
Exons: 2
Source: RefSeq, a predicted model, not a curated record